UACGGGGGGAGCAAGCGUUGUUCGGAUUUACUGGGCGUAAAGGGCGCGUAGGCGGUGCGGUAAGUCACCUGUGAAAUCUCCUGGCUCAACUGGGAGCUUGCAGGCGAAACUGCCGUGCUGGAGUGUGGGAGAGGUGCGUGGAAUUCCUGGUGUAGCGGUGAAAUGCGUAGAUAUCAGGAGGAACACCUGUGGCGAAAGCGGCGCACUGGACCACAACUGACGCUGAGGCGCGAAAGCUAGGGGAGCAAACAGG
Molecule: ribosomal RNA, 253 nt
Filed under: uncultured bacterium
Lineage: Bacteria
Description: partial 16S ribosomal RNA
Rfam family: Bacterial small subunit ribosomal RNA
Source: RNAcentral